GACGAACCGUGCAAACGUUGUUCGGAAUCACUGGGCUUAAAGGGCGCGUAGGCGGGCCAGCCAGUCUGUGGUGAAAGCCUCCAGCUUAACUGGAGAAGUGCCGUGGAUACUGCUGGCCUCGAGGAGGAUAGGGGCAUCUGGAACGGUCGGUGGAGCGGUGAAAUGCGUAGAUAUCAAGUGGAACACCAGUGGCGAAGGCGAGUCUCUGGACAUUUCCUGACGCUGAGGCACGAAAGCCAGGGGAGCAAACGGG
Molecule: ribosomal RNA, 253 nt
Filed under: uncultured bacterium
Lineage: Bacteria
Description: partial 16S ribosomal RNA
Rfam family: Bacterial small subunit ribosomal RNA
Source: RNAcentral